UUGUUUCGGUAUAAUUCCAGAAAUAUCUCCAAGUAAAGCUCUAUAGUAUGAAUGAAUCAAUCCAUUAAAAAUAUCUUAUGAUAUUUAAUUUGAUAGACACGAUAAUUGUGUUAAAAUUAUUUUAACAUUAUGUGGCGGCGGCAGUGGAAUCAGUUAUCAUAAGGAUAGAGCAAUGGUAAUGUCAUAUCCAAAGUAUUGGAAUAUAUGUAAAAGCGGCUCAGUUAAUGUAAAUUUAUCAGACUUGAAUAUUAGGAGGGAUCACCCCCAGAUGCGAAUACCGCCGAACUCAACAAAACAAAGAUGAAAAAUGGGACCAUAAUAAAUGCUUUUUCAUAAAAGUAAUUUGUACUAAUUAACUAUUUUUUGAUAUUAUUUAUAUGCAAUACAUUAGUAUUCUAAAAUUA
This is a long non-coding RNA of Daktulosphaira vitifoliae (grape phylloxera), 404 nucleotides long. RefSeq lists it as uncharacterized. The record is from RefSeq and is a predicted model, not a curated record. Lineage: Eukaryota; Metazoa; Arthropoda; Insecta; Hemiptera; Phylloxeridae. The transcript has 2 exons.